UUACGGCCACAUCACGUUGAAUCACCGGUUCCCCUAGGAUCACCGAAGUUAAACAACGUCGAACCUGGUCAGUACUUAGAUGGGUGACCGCUUGGGAAUACCAGGUAUUGUAAG
Acanthosepion pharaonis is the source of this 114-nucleotide non-coding RNA. The record is from the annotation of a GenBank genome assembly. Lineage: Eukaryota; Metazoa; Mollusca; Cephalopoda; Sepiida; Sepiidae.